UACGGAGGGUGCAAGCGUUGUCCGGAUUUAUUGGGUUUAAAGGGUGCGUAGGCGGCCCGUUAAGUCAGCGGUGAAAUCCCAGGGCUCAACCCUGGAACUGCCGUUGAUACUGGCGGGCUUGAGUUCGGACGAGGCGGGCGGAACUGGUGGUGUAGCGGUGAAAUGCAUAGAUACCACCAAGAACCCCGAUUGCGUAGGCAGCUCGCUAGGCCGAAACUGACGCUGAGGCACGAAAGCGUGGGGAGCGAACAGG
RNAcentral lists this ribosomal RNA (253 nucleotides) under uncultured bacterium. RNAcentral's name for it is "partial 16S ribosomal RNA". It matches the Rfam family "Bacterial small subunit ribosomal RNA", at positions 524 to 776 of the family's 1533-position model. The record is from RNAcentral.